Oncorhynchus tshawytscha (Chinook salmon) is the source of this 399-nucleotide long non-coding RNA. The record is from Ensembl. Lineage: Eukaryota; Metazoa; Chordata; Actinopteri; Salmoniformes; Salmonidae.
GGGUAUUACGGUACAGAGUCAGUGUGGAGGCUAUAUACAGGGUGUUACGGUACAGAGUCAAUGUGGAGGCUAUAUACAGGGUAUUACGGUACAGAGUCAAUGUGGAGGCUAUAUACAGGGUAUUACGGUACAGAGUCAAUGUGGAGGCUAUAUACAGGGUAUUACGGUACAGAGUCAAUGUGGAGGCUAUAUACAGGGUAUUACGGUACAGAGUCAAUGUGGAGGCUAUAUACAGAGUAUUACGGUACAGAGUCAAUGUGGAGGCUAUAUACAGAGUAUUACGGUACAGAGUCAAUGUGGAGGCUAUAUACAGAGUAUUACGGUACAGAGUCAAUGUGGAGGCUAUAUACAGGGUGUUACGGUACAGAGUCAAUGUGGAGGCUAUAUACAGGGUGUUAC